UACGUAGGACCCAAGCGUUAUCCGGAUUGACUGGGCGUAAAGAGUUGCGUAGGUGGUUUGUUAAGCGAAUAGUGAAAUCUUGUGGCUCAACCAUAAGGCUAUUAUUCGAACUGGCAAACUCGAGAAUGGAAGAGGUAUCUGGAAUUUCUCAUGUAGGGGUAAUAUCCGUAGAUAUGAGAAGGAACACCAAUGGCGUAGGCAGGAUACUGGUCCAUUUCUGACACUAAGGCACGAAAGCGUGGGGAGCGAACAGG
This 254-nucleotide ribosomal RNA is filed under the name uncultured bacterium. Its description in RNAcentral is "partial 16S ribosomal RNA". It matches the Rfam family "Bacterial small subunit ribosomal RNA", at positions 524 to 776 of the family's 1533-position model. The record is from RNAcentral.